UUAGGCCUUGACAUACUAAGAACUUUCCAGAGAUGGAUUGGUGCCUUCGGGAACUUAGAUACAGGUGCUGCAUGGCCGUCGUCAGCUCGUGUCGUGAGAUGUUGGGUUAAGUCCCGNAACGAGCGCAACCCUUUUCCUUAUUUGCCAGCGGGUCAUGCCGGGAACUUUAAGGAUACUGCCAGUGACAAACUGGAGGAAGGCGGGGACGACGUCAAGUCAUCAUGGCCCUUACGGCCAGGGCUACACACGUGCUACAAUGGUCGGUACAAAGGGUUGCUACCUCGCGAGAGGAUGCUAAUCUCAAAAAGCCGAUCGUAGUCCGGAUCGCAGUCUGCAACUCGACUGCGUGAAGUCGGAAUCGCUAGUAAUCGCGGAUCAGAAUGCCGCGGUGAAUACGUUCCCGGGCCUUGUACACACCGCCCGUCACACCAUGGGAGUUUGUUGCACCAGAAGUAGGUAGUCUAACCGCAAGGAGGACGCUUACCACGGUGUGGCCGAUGACUGGGGUGAAGUCGUAACAAGGUAAGCGUAGAUGA
Molecule: ribosomal RNA, 536 nt
Filed under: uncultured bacterium
Lineage: Bacteria
Description: bacterial SSU rRNA
Rfam family: Bacterial small subunit ribosomal RNA
Source: RNAcentral